RNAcentral lists this long non-coding RNA (689 nucleotides) under Equus caballus (horse). Its description in RNAcentral is "lncRNA (ENSECAG00000056316.1)". The record is from RNAcentral. Lineage: Eukaryota; Metazoa; Chordata; Mammalia; Perissodactyla; Equidae.
CAACUUAGAGAAACUGGGAGCAGACAGCCACACCCAUCUUUCUUUUUUUUCCAGAAACACAAGACCUUUGAUUCUUUUCAGAAUGAGGUUUUGCAAAGCGAGCUGACUGAAAAGGCUUGAAAAAAGCACAGUCAAGAAAAUGCAAGGCAAACAUGAAACCCCCGGCUUACUGAGAGAGGAGGGUCUCCGUAGGCUCUAUCUAGCAAGAUCUGAACCUCCAGGUGAAGUAGGGAAUGGGUACCACUAUGGGAAACCUGAAUGCAAGGAACACCUUUACAUCAGAAAUCUUUAAGAAAGGAGGCAGGACUCUGAAUGAAGAAUAGAGGUGGAGGGAGGCCGGCCCAGCCCAGUGGUGCAGCAGUUAAGUUGGCACAUUCCGCAGCCCGGGGUUCGCCGGUUCGAAUCCUGGGUGCAUGGCACUACUUGGCAAAAGCCACACUGUGGUAGGCAUCCCACAUAUAAAGUAGAGGAAGAUGGACAUGGAUGUUAGCUCAGGGCCAGCCUUCCUCAGCAAAAAGAGGAGGAUUGGCAGUAGUUAGCUCAGGGCUAAUCUUCCUCAAAAGAAAAAAGAAUAGAGGUGGAGGGUGAGCAGAGGCCAGGGACAGACAAGAGAAGGGGUUUAGGGGUCCAGAUCACUGAGCACCUAAGUCCUAUCCUGACGUCUGUUCUAUAUUUGGCUGGAGUAGGAG